GACAGAGGAUGCAAGCGUUGUCCGGAUUUAUUGGGUUUAAAGGGUGCGUAGGCGGCCCUGUAAGUCAGUGGUGAAAUACUCCAGCUUAACUGGAGGGGUGCCAUUGAUACUGCAGGGCUUGAGUGGAGUAGAAGUAGGCGGAAUUGACGGUGUAGCGGUGAAAUGCUUAGAUAUCGUCAAGAACACCGAUAGUGAAGACAGCUUACUAUGCUUCAACUGACGCUGAGGCACGAAAGUGUGGGGAUCAAACAGG
Molecule: ribosomal RNA, 253 nt
Filed under: uncultured prokaryote
Description: partial 16S ribosomal RNA
Rfam family: Bacterial small subunit ribosomal RNA
Source: RNAcentral